Long non-coding RNA from Lagopus muta (rock ptarmigan), 167 nucleotides. RefSeq lists it as uncharacterized. The transcript is spliced from 3 exons. The record is from RefSeq and is a predicted model, not a curated record. Lineage: Eukaryota; Metazoa; Chordata; Aves; Galliformes; Phasianidae.
CACAGCAUGACCAUAUGCACGAAAGUUCAUGUUCUCCAUCAGGAGAUGUUUUUGAAGAUCUGGUACAGCAAAUGUAAUAAGAAGUACUCACUGACACAAGGUCUAAUUAGAACUUGAUCUGAAGAGGCAAUAGCUUUAAGAUGAAAAGUAGUCUACAAUAAACUGAG